UACGUAGGGGGCGAGCGUUGUCCGGAGUUACUGGGCGUAAAGCGCACGCAGGCGGUCUGCUAAGUUUGGAGUGACAGUUGGUGGCUUAACUGCCAAAGUGCUUCGAAAACUGACAGACUUGAGGGCUUCAGAGGGACACGGAAUUCCGGGUGGAGUGGUGAAAUGCGUAGGGAUCCGGAGGAACACCAAAGGCGAAGGCAGUGUCCUGGGGAGUACCUGACGCUCAGGUGCGAAAGCCAGGGGAGCGAACGGG
This 253-nucleotide ribosomal RNA is filed under the name uncultured bacterium. RNAcentral describes it as "partial 16S ribosomal RNA". It matches the Rfam family "Bacterial small subunit ribosomal RNA", at positions 524 to 776 of the family's 1533-position model. The record is from RNAcentral.